This 497-nucleotide ribosomal RNA is filed under the name uncultured bacterium. RNAcentral describes it as "partial 16S ribosomal RNA". It matches the Rfam family "Bacterial small subunit ribosomal RNA", at positions 28 to 507 of the family's 1533-position model. The record is from RNAcentral.
GAUGAACGCUGGCGGCGUGCCUAAUACAUGCAAGUCGAGCGAACAGACGAGGAGCUUGCUCCUCUGACGUUAGCGGCGGACGGGUGAGUAACACGUGGAUAACCUACCUAUAAGACUGGGAUAACUUCGGGAAACCGGAGCUAAUACCGGAUAAUAUAUUGAACCGCAUGGUUCAAUAGUGAAAGACGGUUUUGCUGUCACUUAUAGAUGGAUCCGCGCCGCAUUAGCUAGUUGGUAAGGUAACGGCUUACCAAGGCGACGAUGCGUAGCCGACCUGAGAGGGUGGUCGGCCACACUGGAACUGAGACACGGUCCAGACUCCUACGGGAGGCAGCAGUAGGGAAUCUUCCGCAAUCGGCGAAAGCCUGACGGAGCAACGCCGCGUGAGUGAUGAAGGUCUUCGGAUCGUAAAACUCUGUUAUUAGGGAAGAACAAAUGUGUAAGUAACUAUGCACGUCUUGACGGUACCUAAUCAGAAAGCCACGGCUAACUACGUG